UGUUUGUAUAGCUUGAUUUUGUGUGUUGUGAACAGAACAUUGCAGUUGAUUUUUGAGGAGAAGACACACAAUCUCGUAUACCAUCAUCAUCAUCAUGCUCUUCCUUAAUUAUUAUUAUUCAUAUUCUUACAUUCACAUUUCUUCUUCUUCAUCGUUCUCUCCAAACCCCAAAAACAACAACAACCUUAAUCACCACAAACCCCUUUCCAUUCCCAACAACAACAACUCCCAUUCUCAUGAUCAUAUUUCCAUUAUCAAAUCCCCCACACCUCCAUGGAUUAAAUCUCCUCUUCAUCUCCAACCCCAACAACACCUUCUCAAUUCUAAUGUGGAAAAAUCUGACCUUUCUGAUAAAGCUUUAAAUAGCAAAGAAAUUAGCGGGAAAAAAGUUUUGAGGAAAAUAGCCCACAAAGUUGAAAAGCUUCACAAGGCUUUGGAUUCAGAAAAAAAUGAGACUUUGACUCAAAUGGGUUCUGAAAAAGUUGAAAACUUUGGGGAUUGUUUGGAUAUUUUGAUGGAGAAUGAAGAAGUCGUUAAUAAAGGGAGAAUGCCAUGGGAGAAAGAUGAAAAGAUUGGUUUUUUUAAGGUGAAAAGGGAAAAAACUUUUAGUGCUGCGGAUUUGAAUGUUGAUAAGGUGGUGCUUCAUAGGUUAAGGGGUGAGGCUGCGAGAAUGAGAAAGUGGGUCAAGGUUAAGAAAAUUGGUGUUACACAAGAUGUUGUGGAUGAAAUUAAAAGGAGUUGGAGGAUGAAUGAACUUGCUAUGGUUAAAUUUGAUAUCCCUUUAUGCCAAAAUAUGGGUAGAGCUAGAGAAAUUGUUGAGACAAAGACUGGAGGCUUGGUUAUCUGGUGUAAGAAGGAUACUCUUGUCGUUUACCGAGGAUGCAACUAUCAGUUGACCUCAAAAAGUUCUCCAAAGAUUCAUACCGGUUAUAUUCGAAGUCAAAAAACAAAUUCUUAUGAAACGAAUGAGGUGAAAUCAGCCACCAAGGGUGAUCUUUCCCGGGUUGAAUCCACCCAGAGUUCAAGUGAGAUACUGAGCUCGAAUGCUGAGCAUAAGGAUUCUCUAUCAACUGACAACUACAACAUGAAUUACCAACCGAGAAGCGGAUCAUUGUAUGAGAAGGAAUGCGAUAGAUUAUUGGAUGGCUUAGGACCUCGCUUCGUUGAUUGGUGGAUGGAUAAGCCGCUUCCGGUAGAUGCUGACUUACUUCCAGAAGUGGUUCCUGGAUUUGAGCCGCCAUUUAGGCUUUGUCCACCUCAUGCUAGAUCAAAACUAACCGAUGAUGAACUAACAUACUUCAGGAAGAUUUCUCACCCUUUACCAACUCAUUUUGUUCUUGGAAGAAACAGAGGACUUCAAGGCUUAGCGGCUGCUAUCUUAAAGUUAUGGCAGAAGAGUCAUACAGCGAAAAUUGCUAUCAAGUACGGAGUUCCAAAUACCGACAAUGAAGUAAUGGCCAAUGAACUCAAGCGUCUCACCGGAGGAGUUCUAUUGUUACGCAACAAGUUUUAUAUACUACUCUAUAGGGGAAAAGAUUUCCUUCCAAGAAGAGUUGCAGCUUUGGUAGAAAGGAGAGAGCUGGAGCUUAAAAGUUGUCAGCUUCACGAAGAAGUCGCGCGGGCGAAAGCAAUUCAAGCUUUUUCUUCGUUUGAUGAAUUGCAACUACCACAAGAAGCUAGUACAAGUGGAACUUUAACCGAAUUUAUGAAAAUCCAAAUGAAGUUUGAGGAUAUAAAAGAAGUCAAUGUAGAUUCAAACAUUGCACUGGAAGCAGAAAUAUAUAGAUUGGAGAAGGAAUUGAAAGAGCAACAGCAUAAAGCUUUCAUUCUUAAUAAGAAAAUAGAAAGAUCUGCAAUGGAAUUAUCGAAACUAAAUGCUGUAUGGACACCUGCUGGGGAGGAUAUAGAUUUGGAAAUAAUGACGGAUGAGGAGAGAGAAUGUUUCAGAAAGAUGGGAUUGAAGAUGAGAAGUUGCCUAGUGCUUGGACGGCGAGGAAUAUUUGAUGGUGUAUUGGAAGGACUACAUCAGUAUUGGAAACACAGAGAAAUAGCGAAGGUCAUUACGAUGCAAAGACUAUUAAGUCAGGUCAUCUACACUUCACAAUUUUUGGAGAGAGAGAGUGGCGGAAUUUUAGUUUCGGUUGAUAAACUAAAAGAAGGCCAUGCGAUUAUUAUUUACCGUGGAAAAAACUAUAGUCGGCCUUCACAAAAGAUAGCGAAAAAUCUUCUAACCAAACGAAAAGCAUUGCGCAGGUCUCUUGAAAUGCAGAGAAUUGGAUCAUUGAAGUUUUUUGCUUAUCAGAGAGAGAAGACAAUCUCUAAUUUAAAGCUGAAACUGGAAACCUUGCAGCAUAGAAAGGAAAUCGAGGCGAGGAAAUUUAAAAAUUAAUGCAUGUAUGUCUAAGACUUCAAUCGAGCUGCAAGUAUUCUUAAAUUGUCUACUCAUCGACGGUAGACGAGAUAAGGCAUACGAAAAAUUCAACAAGCUUCAGCAAGCAACAUAUUUUGAGAAACUAAGUGGCACUUUUUUGCUGCUGUUUGGAACACUUGAAAAACUGUUCUGCAUGGAAGAAAGGAAUCUCACACAUACAUAUAUCCUGCAAGUUUGAGAAAGGUAGAUAUUGUCAAAUAGAGUAACAAAUUUGUUACUUUAUUUUUUAGGGUGAAGCAAUGAAAAGGGAAUUUACUUUCGAGUUGUUAAAGACGAGUUCAAACUUGUGACUCGUCUUUAAACAAUAUUAACUUGAUCUGUCGAAGAGAAUUGUUAGCGACAAAUGUAACAUCCUCUAAAUUUAUUAUUUAAAAAUAACUAGAACUUAUCAAUAUUAAAUUACGUGUGAUAUGUGUUGUUAACUCA
This is an RNA transcript of Cicer arietinum (chickpea), 2857 nucleotides long. It is a transcript of the gene named chloroplastic group IIA intron splicing facilitator CRS1, chloroplastic, with no coding region annotated. NCBI's taxonomy places the organism in Eukaryota, Viridiplantae, Streptophyta, Magnoliopsida, Fabales, Fabaceae. The record is from RefSeq and is a predicted model, not a curated record.